UACAGAGGGGGCAAGCGUUGUUCGGAAUUACUGGGCGUAAAGGGCGCGUAGGCGGCCGCCUAAGUCAGACGUGAAAUCCCUCGGCUUAACCGGGGAACGGCGUCCGAUACUGGAUGGCUUGAGUUUGGGAGAGGGAUGCGGAAUUCCAGGUGUAGCGGUGAAAUGCGUAGAUAUCUGGAGGAACACCGGUGGCGAAGGCGGCAUCCUGGACCAAGACUGACGCUGAAUAGCGAAAGCCAGGGGAGCAAACGGG
RNAcentral lists this ribosomal RNA (253 nucleotides) under uncultured bacterium. RNAcentral describes it as "partial 16S ribosomal RNA". It matches the Rfam family "Bacterial small subunit ribosomal RNA", at positions 524 to 776 of the family's 1533-position model. The record is from RNAcentral.